This is a long non-coding RNA of Trachemys scripta elegans, 971 nucleotides long. RefSeq lists it as uncharacterized. Lineage: Eukaryota; Metazoa; Chordata; Testudines; Emydidae. The transcript is spliced from 4 exons. The record is from RefSeq and is a predicted model, not a curated record.
GGAAACUCAGAGGUCGUCAUCACAUGGAAUUCCCCUGAAACUCCAUCCUCAAAUGGGGACACAAGAGCCCACUCUUUGGAUCCCAGGAAUCCCCCCUUCCUGCUUCUCUGGACCCUUCUCUCUCUAGGCAGGCUGCCUUCAUCUGUGCAAAUCUCUCUUCAAAGCAUUCCCAACUCAUGCUGGCUUUGGAGAGAAAAGGACUGGAACUGAGACCCACCCCCAACUGAUAAUGUAACAUGGACCUCUGGACCAUUUUGCAGAUUUCUUUAGAUUCUGCAGUCUCACAGGCUGUAACACCUCCAGAGAAGUACCACUGCUGGGGAAGCUCAUAUAUGCUGGUUCAAACUGGAUUCUCCAGAGACCAACAGACAAAGAAAUGGCUUUUGGAUAAAAUAGCCUGAAUUUAAACUGACUCAGAGGCAGGCCUCCUUUCUGAUCCAGCAAACAGAUAGGACCUUCUGUCCAGGAGAGCCUCAAUCCUUUCUGAGAAGGGUCGUAAGGACUGAAGUUGAGGAGGCAUCUGGCAGCUUCACCCGGUUCGCCCACUGGCGGUUCAUUCACCGCGCCCGGCUGAAUUGCGUCCCUCUCAACGGUGCCAUCCGCCACGGGAACCGGGACAAACGCUGCAGGAAGUGCGGGUACGUCAACGAAACCCUGCCCCAUGUCCUGUGCUGCUGCAAGCCCCAUGCCAGAGCCUGGCAGCUACGCCACAAUGCCAUCCAGGACCGUCUAGUGAAGGCCAUCAACCCGCGUCUGGGAGAGAUCACCGUCAACCGCGCCGUCCCCGGCACCGACAGCCCGCUGCGCCCAGACAUCGUCGUCACGGACAAGGUUGGAAAAAAGAUCAUCCUGGUUGACGUAACGAUUCCGUUCGAGAACAGGACCCCGGCUUUCCGCGAAGCCCGAGCCCGCAAGCUCGAAAAAUACGCCCCCCUGGCUGACACCCUGCGGACUAAGGGCUACGAGGUGCA